This 1420-nucleotide long non-coding RNA is filed under the name Nicotiana tabacum (common tobacco). RNAcentral describes it as "long non-coding RNA (NTAB_LNC005181)". Lineage: Eukaryota; Viridiplantae; Streptophyta; Magnoliopsida; Solanales; Solanaceae. The record is from RNAcentral.
CAGGUCAUGUAGCUGGAAUGAACAUUCUACUGUGGUAUCUUAUUAGUCCCAAAUUAAAUAUAAGAACACAAAUUCCACUAGCUAAACCAGAAAUUAAUUAGAAAGACAAUGAACUAAGGUUAUGAAAACAACAUACAAUGAGGAGAUACAACUGGAUUCAAAAAACGAAAUUGAAAACAUGCUUUGAACCCUAGUUUUCCAUUUCAUUCUUCAAUUCAAGCUUCACAUUAAAUAGGGUUCAAGAACAUGUACCUGAAAUUCAAAAGAGAACCAAAAGGGAAUGAAGAAUUAGCAUAAGCAGCAGCAGAGAUCAGUUCUGAUCCCCAACAAAUGAAACAGUACCACCAAAUCCAAACCAGCUCCAAACAAGCUUGUAAAUCCCAAAAAUUAAACCAUUUUCACUCCAAUGUAGGAAUUUAUAGUUUUUAAGAGUUCUAACUAAUAGGAAGAUCAGAAAUCCAGCAAACAAACCAAACUUUGAGCAAUUUCCAACCAAGAAAUGCAGGAAAUUCAGUAUUAUUUUUCAGAGCAAGUCGUUUCAAAUUUUUAGGGGUUUUUAUCUCUAAUUUCUUCUAACUUGCUAGUGAAGUAAAGAUGCCUUUAUAGGCAAGGUUUUAGGGAAGCCUAAAAGAAUUCAGUUUUGCACUUGAAACCUUUUUCAAUUUUCAUUCUUGCUCUAAUACCCUUAACUUAAAAAGUCAAUUUUCAUUUAGGUCCCAAGAACAGCUUCUAGGAAGCUUCCUUCAGUCAGUUACAAGAGAUUCUCUACCUAGAUUUCCUAAAUUACCCCUUUAAGCCCUGUUAAUUACCCUAGAAAUCUCAUAGGUCAUGGGUCAAAUUGACCCAAUAAUUAAACCAGACCAGGGCUCAAAAAUCAACUCGAAUCCUUUCUUCUUUGGGCUUUCUGAUUUUCAGAAACCAAAUCAGCCUUGAAAGCUCAAAACUCUCAAAUACUCAAUUACAGAGCCUUAAAGACUCGAAAUAUUUGGGCCCAGACAGAAGCAAAAAUCAAACACAUCCAAACUUAGAACCAGAAAACAAAUACUAAUUAAACAAAACCUAAAAAUAACAUUCAAAUACGGAUGGUUUGAAGAGAUGAAAAAAUUGGAAAAUAAUAAUCAGAAAAAUAAAAGAAAAAGUAGAAGAAGAUGAGAAGAGAACAAAAAUAGAAAUUAAAUAUCAAAAGGUAAAGAAAAGAAAAAUACCUAAAAAAUCUCAGACCAGUAAGAAACAGAGACUGAGUCUUCAAAAUCUGCCAAUUUUCAGCCCAAUUCGAUAUUAAUCGUAUGUUCUUAUCAAGAACACACGAAUAAAGUCAAAAUAGGCCUAAAUCUUCAACGAAAUUUCGAUUUGGAAGUUUUUUGGGAUUUUAAGGUUCCACCUUCGAUCUAAGAUUCAAGAAGUUCUGGCAAGAUUCAAG